RNAcentral lists this ribosomal RNA (468 nucleotides) under uncultured bacterium. Its description in RNAcentral is "partial 16S ribosomal RNA". It matches the Rfam family "Bacterial small subunit ribosomal RNA", at positions 28 to 507 of the family's 1533-position model. The record is from RNAcentral.
GACGAACGCUGGCGGCGUGCUUAACACAUGCAAGUCGAACGGAAAGGCCCUGCGUUUGUGGGGUGCUCGAGGGGCGAACGGGUGAGUAACACGUGAGUAACCUGCCCUUGACUUUGGGAUAACUUCAGGAAACUGGGGCUAAUACCGGAUAGGAGCUCCUGCUGCAUGGUGGGGGUUGGAACGUUUCGGCGGUUGGGGAUGGACUCGCGGCUUAUCAGCUUGUUGGUGGGGUAGUGGCUUACCAAGGCUUUGACGGGUAGCCGGCCUGGGAGGGUGACCGGCCACAUUGGGACUGAGAUACGGCCCAGACUCCUACGGGAGGCAGCAGUGGGGAAUAUUGCACAAUGGGCGGAAGCCUGAUGCAGCAACGCCGCGUUCGGGAUGACGGCCUUCGGGUUGUAAACCGCUUUCGCCUGUGACGAAGCGUGAGUGACGGUAAUGGGUAAAGAAGCACCGGCUAACUACGUG